ACGAGUGUGCUCUUGGGAGAGCAGUCAGCCUCCAAAACUGACGGAUAGGGUUCGAAUCCUUACGCUCGUGC
This 71-nucleotide transfer RNA is filed under the name Thalassoglobus neptunius. Its description in RNAcentral is "Planctomycetes bacterium KOR42 tRNA-Trp". It matches the Rfam family "tRNA". From Rfam's summary of the family: Transfer RNA (tRNA) molecules are approximately 80 nucleotides in length. The record is from RNAcentral. Lineage: Bacteria; Pseudomonadati; Planctomycetota; Planctomycetia; Planctomycetales; Planctomycetaceae.